RNAcentral lists this ribosomal RNA (399 nucleotides) under uncultured eukaryote. RNAcentral describes it as "SSU rRNA". It matches the Rfam family "Eukaryotic small subunit ribosomal RNA", at positions 1410 to 1808 of the family's 1831-position model. The record is from RNAcentral.
AUUAGAGGGACUGUAUGCGUUUCAGUAUACGGAAGUUUGAGGCUAAAACAGGUCUGUGAUGCCCUUAGAUGUUCUGGGCUGCACGCGCGCUACACUGAUGCGUUCAACGAGUGUACAACCUUACCCGAUAGGGUUGGGUAACCUUUUGAACACGCAUCGUGAUGGGGAUUGAGUAUUGCAAUUAUUACUCAUCAACGAGGAAUUCCUAGUAAUGAUGGAUCAUCAGUUCAUCGUGAUUACGUCCCUGCCCUUUGUACACACCGCCCGUCGCUCCUACCGAUUGAGCAAUCCGGUGAAUAUUUUGGACCAGUUUUCGUCGGGGCAACUCGUUCGAAAUUGGGAAAAUCAAGUUAACCUUAUUGCUUAGAGGAAGGAGAAGUCGUAACAAGGUUUCCGUAG